UUAACGCUUGCUGUGUGCCUAAUACAUGCAUGUUGAACGGGAUGUUUUAGUUUACUAGAACAUUUAGUAGCGAAUGGGUGAGUAACACGUACCUAACCUACCUUUAGGAUUGGGAUAACUACUGGAAACAGUAGCUAAUACCGAAUAUAAUAUUUUUUCGCAUGAAGAAAUAUAGAAAGGAGCCUUUAAAGCUUCACCUAGAAAUGGGGGUGCGGAACAUUAGUUAGUUGGUGAGGUAAUGGCUCACCAAGACAAUGAUGUUUAGCGGGGCCAAGAGGUUGUACCGCCACACUGGGACUGAGAUACGGCCCAGACUCCUACGGGAGGCAGCAGUAAGGAAUUUUCCACAAUGAGCGAAAGCUUGAUGGAGCGACACAGCGUGCAGGAUGAAAUCCCUCGGGAUGUAAACUGCUGUUAUAAGGAAAGAAAAAAUCAAAUAGGAAAUGAUUUGAUCUUGACGGUACCUUAUUAGAAAGCGACGGCAAACUAUGUGCCAGCAGCCGCGGUAAUACAUAGGUCGCAAGCGUUAUCCGGAAUUAUUGGGCGUAAAGCGUCCGUAGGUUUUUUGUUAAGUUUAAGGUUAAAUACUGAAGCUCAACUUCAGCCCGCUUUAGAUACUGGCAAAAUAGAAUUAUGAAGAGGUUAGCGGAAUUCCUAGUGUAGCGGUGGAAUGCGUAGAUAUUAGGAAGAACACCAAUAGGCGAAGGCAGCUAACUGGUCAUACAUUGACACUAAGGGACGAAAGCGUGGGGAGCAAACAGGAUUAGAUACCCUGGUAGUCCACGCUGUAAACGAUGAUCAUUAGUUGGUGGUAUUAAAUCACUAACACAGCUAACGCGUUAAAUGAUCCGCCUGAGUAGUAUGCUCGCAAGAGUGAAACUUAAAGGAAUUGACGGGAACCCGCACAAGCGGUGGAGCAUGUGGUUUAAUUUGAAGAUACGCGUAGAACCUUACCCACUCUUGACAUCCUUGCAAAGCUAUAGAGAUAUAGUGGAGGUUAACAAGAUGACAGAUGGUGCAUGGUUGUCGUCAGCUCGUGUCGUGAGAUGUUAGGUUAAGUCCUGCAACGAGCGCAACCCCUUUCUUUAGUUACUAACGUGAAAGACGAGGACUCUAAAGAUACUGCCUGCGUAAGCCGGAGGAAGGUGGGGACGACGUCAAAUCAUCAUGCCUCUUACGAGUGGGGCAACACACGUGCUACAAUGGCUACUACAAAGAGACGCAAGACGGUGACGUUAAGCAAAUCUCAAAAAAGUAGUCCCAGUUCGGAUUGAAGUCUGCAACUCGACUUCAUGAAGUCGGAAUCGCUAGUAAUCGCAGAUCAGCUACGCUGCGGUGAAUACGUUCUCGGGUUUUGUACACACCGCCCGUCACACCAUGGGAGUUGGUAAUGCCCAAAGUCGGUGAGUUAACUUCGGAGACCAUUGCCUAAGGCAGGACUGAUGACUGGGGUGAAGUCGUAACAAGGUAUCCCUACGAGAACGUGGGGAUGGAACACCUCCUUUCUACGGAAUUACACAAUUUUAAUAUUUUAGAUAUUAAAAACUGUAAAAAUUAAUCUCCAUUUUAUUUUUUACAGUCAUUAUUAAAUUUUGUUUUUUUUAAAAUCCUAUAAAUUUAUUUUAAUUAAUUAAAUGGUAUGUAUCUAGUUUUGAGAGCUCUAAUGCUCUUAGUUCUUUGAAAACUGAAUAGUAUCAAAAAUAUGUAAUAAAUUUACAUAUUCCAAUGAUCUUAUUAAACAACCGAGUUAAAUCAAGUGAUUUAAUCAAUUUUAAUAGAUUACCAAUAUUAAAAUACCUUAAGAUAUUUAUCUUUAUGUAUAACAAUAGGCUAUACAAAAAGUUGUAUUAACUUUUUAAAUAAGUAAGAGUAUUUGGUGGAUGCCUUGGGUCUGAAAGUCGAAGAAGGACGUGAUUACCUGCGAUAAGCUUCGUGGAGCUGGAUAUAAGCUAUAAUACGGAGAUUUCCGAAUGGGGAAACCUAACUAAGCAAACCUUAGUUGCUAUUUAAUGAAUCCAUAGUUAAAUAAGCGAGACACGUUGUGAAUUGAAACAUCUUAGUAACAACAGGAAAAGAAAAUAAAUAAUGAUUUCCUUAGUAGCGGCGAGCGAAUGGGAAAGAGCCCAAACCACAUUAGUGGGGUUGUAGGACAUUUUAAUUGAGUUAUAAAGUUUUAUAAUAGUAGAAAAAGUUGGAAAGCUUUAACAUAGAAGGUGACAUUCCUGUAUACAAAAUUAUAAAACCUCAUAAAUGUAUCCUGAGUAGGGCGGGGCACGUGAAACCCUGUCUGAAUCUGCCGGGACCACCCGGUAAGGCUAAAUACUAAUCAGACACCGAU
This 2338-nucleotide ribosomal RNA is filed under the name Mesomycoplasma conjunctivae. Its description in RNAcentral is "bacterial LSU rRNA". The stretch from base 1 to 1505 matches the Rfam family "Bacterial small subunit ribosomal RNA". The record is from RNAcentral. Lineage: Bacteria; Bacillati; Mycoplasmatota; Mycoplasmoidales; Metamycoplasmataceae.